UACGGGGGGAGCAAGCGUUGUUCGGAUUUACUGGGCGUAAAGCGUGCGCAGGCGGUUUUGUAAGUCUGUCGUGAAAUCCCCGGGCUCAACCUGGGAAUUGCGAUGGAGACUGCAAGGCUAGAAUCUGGCAGAGGGGGGUAGAAUUCCACGUGUAGCAGUAAGAAUGCUGAUGAGAGAUGGUGAGGAACACCGAUGGCGAAGGCAGCCCCUGGGUCAAGAUUGACGCUCAUGCACGAAAGGCGUGGGGAGCAAACAGG
Molecule: ribosomal RNA, 257 nt
Filed under: uncultured bacterium
Lineage: Bacteria
Description: partial 16S ribosomal RNA
Rfam family: Bacterial small subunit ribosomal RNA
Source: RNAcentral